GUAUUUCAGAGUUGCCAGGUUUAGACAGAAUCUCUAUUCUAAAUGUCCUUGAACAAAUGAACUAGCACUCAUUUGCCAGCUGCCAUUGGUGACAGGAAUUGCAUCUGGAUUUAGGAAGUGGAAGAGGCUUCCAGAUGAAUUAUAAUCCAGUCUUAGUUGGCAACCGACUGAAGUUUGCUGAUUAGAUUUUGUACGAUGAAAUGACAGAAUCCAGAGGCCAUAGACAGAGUCAAUGGAAUCACCUUCAAGCUCCAGGUACAAGGUCUUGUUUGCGGAUGCCUCCUAAGAGUAUGAUUUACUCCACAUAUUGAACCAAUAAGGAAAGCAUAAAGUCCUGGGCUUAAAUCCUUCUUUCAGUGGAAUAAGGAAAUUAUGGAUCUCCAGGUGUUUGUUGAACCAGCACUGCAGAUUCUGCACCAGGUAGGGGAAAAAAAAUCCUUUUGGCUAUAAAAUUGUAGGUUGGUCUGCAGUUCUCUGCUUAUACCUGGCACUGGAUUUAUACCUCGGCUACAUUUUACGAAUAUAUAUCAUGUAUAGAUAAGACUUCAGGCUGAAACAAAGUUGGUAUGAAUUGCACCACUGCACACUGCUUUACAGUUGUCAGUACAGACCUCUUAAAAUAUCCGCAGCCUCUCUGCAUGUAGAAAAUGUGCCCUCUAAAUCAGGAGAGAGCUGGUAGAAGAUACUUGUGACCAGUGGUGGGUUGCCCCCAGUUCGCACCGAUUCUAUAGAACUGGUAGUAAAACCGUUGGGAGGCUCCGCCCACUGACCCUGAUGUCAUCAGAACACUUCUGCGCAUGUGUAGAAGAGCGUGCAUGCGUGUGGGCCCCAUUGCGAACCGGUAGUAAAGGAUGAAAACAUCAGAGAAAACUAGAACAAUUUUCUGGACCUGGAAACCAUAUGCAUGAAGCUCAAAAACAUGAAGAAGAAGAAGAAAGAAACAAGAGACUGCCUUUUUGACAUUCAUAACACAAUUGGAAGAAGAACCAAACUAUAGGGGCUCCAGAAUAUGACUUUGCCUAGGAUCUCAAAAUGCCUACAGCCAGCAAUGCAUCUAGUGGUCAUCUAGUUUUUUUUGCAACCCAAAAGCUCCACCAUCAGCCCCCACUGAUGCCAUCUCACCCUGGGAGUGCCUUGUGGUAACAUGGCUUCCUCACAUGUAGCCACUAGCCCUUUAAUUGAUGACUAACUUUGAGGUGAGGUCCCAGACAAUAACAGUGACAAUAACAGUUUCUUCUUCUUCUUCUUCUUCUUCUUCUUCUUCUUCUUCUUCUUCUUCUUCUUCUUCUUCUUCUUCUUCUUCUUCUUCUUCUUCUUCUUCUUCUUCUUCUUCUUCUUCUUUCUUCUUUUUCUUCUUUUUUCUUUUUUUCUUUUUUUCUCCUCCUCCUCCUCCUCCUCCUCCUCCUCCUCCUCCUCCUCCUCCUCCUCUUCCUUCUCCUCCUCCUCCUUCUUCUCCCUCUCCUCCUUCUUCUUCAGAAGAUAUAGAACAAUUAAAACUCUAAUCACAUGUUUUCUGAAUAGUUUUAAUCCCAGAGCUAUAAUUGCACCCAAUAAUGAACUAAAGGGCCACCAUCAGUGAGCUGUUGGACACCAUUAUUUGAUCUGUUGUGUGGAUGUUUGAGUGGUUCAGGGGUGGGCAAUUUGUGGUGGUGGAGGUAUUUGGGGAUUGUUAUGUAUGUUGGGCAUGGUCUUUGGGUAUUAUGUGAAUUUUGUUGUAUGGGUAUACUGUGUAUAUACGUACAAUGACAAUAAAGUUUUUUGUUUGUUUG
Pantherophis guttatus is the source of this 1769-nucleotide long non-coding RNA. RefSeq lists it as uncharacterized. The record is from RefSeq and is a predicted model, not a curated record. Lineage: Eukaryota; Metazoa; Chordata; Lepidosauria; Squamata; Colubridae.